This 703-nucleotide ribosomal RNA is filed under the name bacterium SL3.13. RNAcentral's name for it is "bacterial SSU rRNA". It matches the Rfam family "Bacterial small subunit ribosomal RNA", at positions 57 to 746 of the family's 1533-position model. The record is from RNAcentral.
GCAGUCGAGCGGACCUUUGGAGCUUGCUCCAUUGGUUUAGCGGCGGACGGGUGAGUAACACGUGGGCAACCUGCCCUGCAGAUCGGGAUAACUCCGGGAAACCGGUGCUAAUACCGAAUAGUUUUUUGCCCCUCCUGGGGCGAAACGGAAAGACGGUUUCGGCUGUCACUGCAGGAUGGGCCCGCGGCGCAUUAGCUAGUUGGUGGGGUAAUGGCCCACCAAGGCGACGAUGCGUAGCCGACCUGAGAGGGUGAUCGGCCACACUGGGACUGAGACACGGCCCAGACUCCUACGGGAGGCAGCAGUAGGGAAUCUUCCGCAAUGGACGCAAGUCUGACGGAGCAACGCCGCGUGAGUGACGAAGGUUUUCGGAUCGUAAAACUCUGUUGUGAGGGAAGAACAAGUACCAACUAACUACUGGUACCUUGACGGUACCUCACCAGAAAGCCACGGCUAACUACGUGCCAGCAGCCGCGGUAAUACGUAGGUGGCAAGCGUUGUCCGGAAUUAUUGGGCGUAAAGCGCGCGCAGGCGGUCCCUUAAGUCUGAUGUGAAAGCCCACGGCUCAACCGUGGAGGGUCAUUGGAAACUGGGGGACUUGAGUGCAGAAGAGGAAAGUGGAAUUCCACGUGUAGCGGUGAAAUGCGUAGAGAUGUGGAGGAACACCAGUGGCGAAGGCGACUUUCUGGUCUGUAACUGACGC